AGAAUCAACGCUGGUGGCGUGCCUAACACAUGCAAGUCGAACGAGAAAGUGGAGCAAUCCAUGAGUAAAGUGGCGACCGGGUGAGUAACACGUGACUAACCUACCUUCGAGUGGGGGAUAACCUCGGGAAACCGAGGCUAAUACCGCAUAACAUCGUGAGAUCAAAGCAGUAAUGCGCUGGAAGAGGGGGUCGCGGCUGAUUAGCUAGUUGGCGGGUAAUGGCCCACAAGGCGAAGAUCGGUAG
Molecule: ribosomal RNA, 244 nt
Filed under: uncultured bacterium
Lineage: Bacteria
Description: partial small subunit ribosomal RNA
Rfam family: Bacterial small subunit ribosomal RNA
Source: RNAcentral